Molecule: unclassified non-coding RNA, 2254 nt
Filed under: Yarrowia lipolytica
Lineage: Eukaryota; Fungi; Ascomycota; Dipodascomycetes; Dipodascales
Source: RNAcentral
AACCUCUCAUUCUCACUCUCACUCAACCAUCCCUAACCUCUCACUCUUCCUCUCACUCUUCCUCUCACUCUUCCUCGACCAACACCCGCAGCCCCCUGAGAAGGUCCCAUCUGCCCGCGCUCAAGCUCAAAAUCGCCUUCAACCGCCAGUAUACUACGCCUUCAUCUUGAAACAGAUCUCGUACUGGAGAAGAUGGCUGUCAGGUAUUGAGGUCGAAACGACCGAGCUGGCCACUCGACAGCCACCCGACAGCCGACCGACAGCCACUCUCUGGUCAGUGCGAUAGCUACCCCACUGCUCCUCAAGACUAACAACACCAGAUGACGUCUCUGCUCUUGAGUCACUCGUCUGGUCAGAAACCCUGAGACAGCUAUUCGCUUGAAGUGGCCAUCGAUAAGGUAGUCAAAAACAAUGUGCAGUUGAAGCAGCGCCAUCCAAGCUGAUUUGGACUCCGAUGCCGGAAAGGCCGCUCACAAAAGUUCCUACUAAAGAGGAUUUGGAGCCUGGAUGGAGGAUCGUCGUAGUGGACGACAAGGACGGUUAUGGGAUCGAAGAAGAGCAGAAACUCGAAGGGGAGAAGGAUGGUGACAGCAAGAGUGAUGCCGAGGUUGAGUCCACGAUAGACUACUGUACUCCAAGUUUGAGGCAGACUACCCCAUUCCUCGAAUGACCAACACGGUGGGGAAAGCAGCACCAAGAACCACGAAAUCAAGAUCCACACGUCGAGACCGGCGAUACCAGGGCGCCGUCAGAUGUCCUCAAGAUCGGCCUAGAAAGUACCCUCUGGCUACAAAGGCCUAAUUCAUGUAUUCAUAGCAUUUUCUUGGAGUUAAAGAGAGGAAGAACUCCAUGACCAAUUCGACCACCCCAAUGGUACCAAUUCGAUAAUCCUAACGGUACCAAGGACCUUGCACUUCUCUCUCGUAUGACAACUUCUCCGUCUCCAGCCAUCAGCUCCUCGUACUACAGGAAUCAGGGGAUCAGGGUAGUAGUGUGCUACAGCGAGUGGGCGUCGAUGAGAAACUUCCAUGGUGGGACAUCAAACAGCUGCAGGCCCAUAGUGACCCAGAAGGUGACACGAGGUCAAAUGGCACCGACCACUACGUUAACCAUCAUGUUGUGUCCUGGGUCGAAUUCGAUGAAGGAAAGACACGAAACGCGAGCCAGGAAGAGCUUGACACAGACUGAGGCAAGAAUGAGACGGGGGAUUCUCUGAGGCAAGAAUGAAGCCGGUAUUUUCUCUGAAGUCUCGUCUGUCGGCCGAGAAGUAGUCAAGUUUCCCGGUCACGGGCCGCGGGCAUGGAACAUGGCGCUCCCUAUCCAUGAGUUCAUUCCAUCAGCGCAAAGCCGUUGUAGUGGGGGAUGAGUGAGUCGGGUUUUCUCUGAUUGAGGUACUUGAGGAUCAGGCAGCGCCGUUAAUGAGACAUCAAGUCGUCCGAACCAAAGACUAUCGACACUGAUUCCUGGGAGGCUGGAGAGAUAGACCGGAAAUCACAGCCAACGGUGUCGGCAAGUCUGUCACUGUCAGUUAUAUACUGCCUACAUAAUGUGACUGCUACGAUGACUUAAACCCUGGUCGACUAGUCCCUACUAACGGCAAGAUGUUAUCUUCAAUCUCAGCUUUGGCGAACCCAACAGUGUUUCAACCUCUCCCGAGAGCCAUUGACAGAACCAGAAUGGUUAAUACCACUUGGCGUUGGCGUCGGUACAUUGAAGAUCUCCAUGUGUCGGGGCCGCCCUCGAUGAGAGCGCACUCCACAUGCCAGCCACCUCCUCGGUGGUGGUCAAUGUCUCGGACCUCAGUAUUGCGGCACUUAAACUGGGGCCAUAAUCGACAUGAAAACAAUACCGCCUUUGUUCCCGCUCUACAGCGUUUCUUCAGGGCUCCAGUAAGCAGAGACCUUUCACCAAUCAGUUCUGAAGUAAAUGAUGUAUUCAUUUUGAACUCGCCGAGGGCUAUCGAUCGGUGUAUUUCUCAUGUCUCUUCAACCACUUUAGGGCUCAGAAAUGUGACACUACCUAGCCCUCCAUUUGCGACACCAGAUCGAAGUCAGACCAGAGACUGGCCGCCGCUACUCGUAGAUACUACAGUACUUGUAGUACAUACUCUGAUUGAUCUAACAGAAACCUUCCUGGCGACGGUUCUACAGCUACUCACUCCUCUAAUAUUGUUGGAUUGUGUUUUGAACUAUAUACAGUAUUGUGGUAGUAUAAAUAGAUGCUGAUUUGGACUCUGUUAUGUCCUCCUGGUCCA